UACGUAGGGAGCAAGCGUUGUCCGGAAUCAUUGGGCGUAAAGCGCGUGUAGGCGGUCUGGAAAGUCUGGUGUGAAAACUUGAGGCUCAACCUCAAGCUGUCGCUGGAUACUGUCAGACUUGAGUCCGGAAGAGGAGUGUGGAAUUCCUGGUGUAGCGGUGGAAUGCGCAGAUAUCAGGAGGAACACCUAUGGCGAAGGCAGCACUCUGGUACGUGACUGACGCUGAGACGCGAAAGCGUGGGGAGCAAACAGG
This 253-nucleotide ribosomal RNA is filed under the name uncultured Conexibacter sp. RNAcentral's name for it is "partial 16S ribosomal RNA". It matches the Rfam family "Bacterial small subunit ribosomal RNA", at positions 524 to 776 of the family's 1533-position model. The record is from RNAcentral. Lineage: Bacteria; Bacillati; Actinomycetota; Thermoleophilia; Solirubrobacterales; Conexibacteraceae.